This 491-nucleotide ribosomal RNA is filed under the name uncultured bacterium. RNAcentral describes it as "partial 16S ribosomal RNA". It matches the Rfam family "Bacterial small subunit ribosomal RNA", at positions 29 to 506 of the family's 1533-position model. The record is from RNAcentral.
AGUGAACGCUGGCGGUAGGCCUAACACAUGCAAGUCGAACGGCAGCACAGUAAGAGUUUGCCCUUACGGGUGGCGAGUGGCGGACGGGUGAGGAAUACAUCGGAAUCUACUUUUUCGUGGGGGAUAACGUAGGGAAACUUACGCUAAUACCGCAUACGUCCUACGGGUGAAAGCAGUGGAUCUUCGCACUUUGCGUGAUUGAAUUAGCUGAUGUCGGAUUAGUUAGUUGGCGGGGUAAGGUCCCACCAAGGCGACGAUCCGUUGCUGGUCCGAGAGGAGGAUCAGCCACACGGGAACUGAGACCCGGUCCAGACUCCUACGGAGGGAAGCAGUGGGGAAUAUUGGACAAUGGGCGAAAGCCUGAUCCAGCCAGACCGCGUGGGUGAAGAAGGCCUUCGGGUUGUAAAGCCCUUUUGUUGGGAAAGAAAAGCAGCAGGUUAAUACCCCGCUGUUCUGACGGAACCCAAAGAAUAAGCACCGGCUAACUUCGU